This 468-nucleotide ribosomal RNA is filed under the name uncultured bacterium. RNAcentral's name for it is "partial 16S ribosomal RNA". The stretch from base 58 to 468 matches the Rfam family "Bacterial small subunit ribosomal RNA", at positions 39 to 507 of the family's 1533-position model. The record is from RNAcentral.
GGGGGGGGGGGGGGGGGGGGGGGGGGGAGGGGGGGCGAGGGGAGGGGGGGGGGGUGGGUGGGGGGGGCGGGUGGGGAGGGGGGGGGGAACACGUGGGUGCCCGGCCCUGGACUUUGGGAGAAGUUCAGGAAACGGGGGCGAAUACCGGGUAGGCGCUCCGGCUGCGUGGGGGGGGUGGGCACGUUUCGGCGGUUGGGGAUGGACCCGCGGCGUAUCAGCUGGUUGGUGGGGUAGUGGCUUACCAAGGCUUUGACGGGUAGCCGGCCUGAGAGGGUGACCGGCCACAUUGGGACUGAGAUACGGCCCAGACUCCUACGGGAGGCAGCAGUGGGGAAUAUUGCACAAUGGGCGGAAGCCUGAUGCAGCAACGCCGCGUGCGGGAUGACGGCCUUCGGGUUGUAAACCGCUUUCGCCUGUGACGAAGCGUGAGUGACGGUAAUGGGUAAAGAAGCACCGGCUAACUACGUG